AACAGCCCAUUUUCAGAAGCAUCUUACCUUCGUAUACAGGGGCCAUCGGUGCAAGGGUUCCUGUUAUUCAUGGCAAAAAUAUAAAGCGAGAUUUCUUCUCAAAACUCAAUGAAAAUCUGCCAUCUUGAAACAGUGACGAGAGAGUCGCCGCGGUCUCCUGCAUUUACCGGCCCAGUUCAUUAGUUCCGAUGCGCAGAGGGGAGCGACGGAAGAGACGGCUGUGCGAUCCGGUGUCCCAGCCAGCCUGCGAGGCUUUUUGUUGUUGUUUUCUUCCUUUUUUCUUUAUCUGGAGGCUCGGGCGACGAGCCGCGGCGGACGGGUUCACUUCAGCUAUCGUGCGACAUUGUCUGUGGAGCGAGGAGUCUCUGCAAAAGUUGCAGCCGUUCGGAGCGCAGCGAGUUUUCUGCUGUACAGUGAGCGAGUCGAGCGCAGAGCGAGUCGAUGGAGGCGACGGGGAUCGCACGCGAGCACCGCGACCCGCCUCACAGAAACAAAAUGAUGCUGGUGGUGAUACAUAAAAAUAUACGAUGGAAGCAAAUAUAUAAAACAUAAAAAGCAUUUGAGUCAAUGCCUGAUCAGAAAACGGAAUAUCAGAAUGAAAUAAAAGAUGAUUCAAAAUUGAUUAAAAAAAAUAGAUAAGAAAACAGCAAUUGCGUUACUAUUAUUAUAAAACACGAAUUAACCAAUACGUCUCUAUUACCACUUUUGCCGUAAUUAAGCUAUUUUUAGGAUUUUUUCUUCUCCUUCCUCCUUUUGAAUGUGAAAGUUUGAGUUGGAUGCACACCAUAUAUUCAAAAAGAUAACGUAUUAACCUACUAACUAGUAGUACUACUAUUACUAAUACAAAAUAUUAAUAAUAAUAACAACAACAACAACAAUGAUACAAAUAAUAAUACUAUGAGUAAACCGGCUAUUGAUUGUUACAUGAUACAGUUAUCUGGAGUUGAUGCGACUCUUAACGCGGCCCGUGCAAAGUGCGUCGGAUGAUUCUGCGGGCGUUUCGUCGUGCCUGCGCCAGACUGAAGCGCUCCUACAGUAGGCUAUGACG
This is a long non-coding RNA of Gasterosteus aculeatus aculeatus (three-spined stickleback), 1048 nucleotides long. The record is from Ensembl. NCBI's taxonomy places the organism in Eukaryota, Metazoa, Chordata, Actinopteri, Perciformes, Gasterosteidae.